GAGUGCCUACGGGGGGCAGCAGUGGGGAAUAUUGCACAAUGGGGGAAACCCUGAUGCAGCAACGCCGCGUGAGUGAUGACGGCCUUCGGGUCGUAAAGCUCUGUCUUCAGGGACGAUAAUGACGGUACCUGAGGAGGAAGCCACGGCUAACUACGUGCCAGCAGCCGCGGGAAUACGUAGGUGGCGAGCGUUGUCCGGAUUUACUGGGCGUAAAGGGAGCGUAGGCGGACUUUUAAGUGAGAUGUGAAAUACUCGGGCUCAACUUGAGCGCUGCAUUUCAAACUGGAAGUCUAGAGUGCAGGAGG
This 305-nucleotide ribosomal RNA is filed under the name uncultured bacterium. Its description in RNAcentral is "bacterial SSU rRNA". It matches the Rfam family "Bacterial small subunit ribosomal RNA", at positions 333 to 655 of the family's 1533-position model. The record is from RNAcentral.